CAAGUUUAUUCUACAAAUUUGAAAAAGAGAAAUCUAUUUGAACUUGUUUAAGAGUGCAAGGAAAAUCGGAGGAACAAAUGAGGAAUCCAAAUGGCUUACGUUCUAUUUAUAUGACUUAUCACUGGUAAAAAUCAAAGGGGCUACAUGUAUGUGAUUUAUAAAAUCAUUUGCUAGAGAAUUGCAAUAAUUAGAUAAACAUGAUACAUUGUAUAUCCUCAUGAAAUAUUUUUUUUACCAUAAAAAAAACCAAC
RNAcentral lists this long non-coding RNA (251 nucleotides) under Mytilus galloprovincialis (Mediterranean mussel). Lineage: Eukaryota; Metazoa; Mollusca; Bivalvia; Mytilida; Mytilidae. The record is from RNAcentral.